This 252-nucleotide ribosomal RNA is filed under the name uncultured bacterium. RNAcentral describes it as "partial 16S ribosomal RNA". It matches the Rfam family "Bacterial small subunit ribosomal RNA", at positions 524 to 776 of the family's 1533-position model. The record is from RNAcentral.
UACGGAGGGUGCAAGCGUUAUCCGGAUUUACUGGGUUUAAAGGGUGCGCAGGCGGAUAUGUAAGUCAGUGGUGAAAUCUCCGGGCUUAACCCGGAACUGCCGUUGAUACUAUAUAUCUUGAAUGCUGUGGAGGUAAGCAGAAUAUGUCAUGUAGCGGUGAAAUGCUUAGAUAUGACAUAGAAUACCUAUUGCGAAGGCAGCUUACUACACAGAUAUUGACGCUCAUGCACGAAAGCGUGGGGAUCAAACAGG